AUCCGCUGAGACAGUCAUGCGUUCUGCUGUGGUGUCGGCUGUCGUUCUGCUCCUGGUUCUGGUUCACAUCCAGGACUCUCUCUCCAAUUCGGCUCGAACCAUGUGCCUGCGGAAUUAUUCACCCAGACCCUGUGGCGGCGGAUGGAUCCAGGUGACCGGCAACAACUGUCUGGCUAUGGAUGGACCGACAAAUCUGCGUUUGGCUUCACUAAAUGGCACCCUGGG
This is a long non-coding RNA of Epinephelus fuscoguttatus (brown-marbled grouper), 225 nucleotides long. RefSeq lists it as uncharacterized. The record is from RefSeq and is a predicted model, not a curated record. NCBI's taxonomy places the organism in Eukaryota, Metazoa, Chordata, Actinopteri, Perciformes, Serranidae. The transcript is spliced from 3 exons.